AUUGAACGCUGGCGGCAUGCCUUAUACAUGCAAGUCGAACGGCAGCACGGACUUCGGUCUGGUGGCGAGUGGCGAACGGGUGAGUAAUGUAUCGGAACGUGCCCAGUCGUGGGGGAUAACGUAGUGAAAAUUACGCUAAUACCGCAUACGAUCUAUGGAAGAAAGCGGGGGAUCGCAAGACCUAGCGCGAUUGGAGCGGCCGAGAUCAGAUUAGGUAGGUGGUGGGGUAAAGGCCCACCAAGCCAACGAUCUGUAGCUGGUCUGAGAGGACGACCAGCCACACUGGAACUGAGACACGGUCCAGACUCCUACGGGAGGCAGCAGUGGGGAAUUUUGGACAAUGGGCGAAAGCCUGAUCCAGCCAUUCCGCGUGCAGGAUGAAGGCCCUCGGGUUGUAAACUGCUUUUGUACAGAACGAAAAGGUUUCUACUAAUACUAGGAGCUCAUGACGGUACUGUAAGAAUAAGCACCGGCUAACUACGUGCCAGCCGCCGCCGUAA
Molecule: ribosomal RNA, 500 nt
Filed under: uncultured bacterium
Lineage: Bacteria
Description: partial 16S ribosomal RNA
Rfam family: Bacterial small subunit ribosomal RNA
Source: RNAcentral